RNAcentral lists this ribosomal RNA (604 nucleotides) under Streptomyces sp. RNAcentral describes it as "bacterial SSU rRNA". It matches the Rfam family "Bacterial small subunit ribosomal RNA", at positions 252 to 866 of the family's 1533-position model. Lineage: Bacteria; Bacillati; Actinomycetota; Actinomycetes; Kitasatosporales; Streptomycetaceae. The record is from RNAcentral.
GUGAGGUAACGGCUCACCAAGGCGACGACGGGUAGCCGGCCUGAGAGGGCGACCGGCCACACUGGGACUGAGACACGGCCCAGACUCCUACGGGAGGCAGCAGUGGGGAAUAUUGCACAAUGGGCGAAAGCCUGAUGCAGCGACGCCGCGUGAGGGAUGACGGCCUUCGGGUUGUAAACCUCUUUCAGCAGGGAAGAAGCGAAAGUGACGGUACCUGCAGAAGAAGCGCCGGCUAACUACGUGCCAGCAGCCGCGGUAAUACGUAGGGCGCGAGCGUUGUCCGGAAUUAUUGGGCGUAAAGAGCUCGUAGGCGGUCUGUCGCGUCGGAUGUGAAAGCCCGGGGCUUAACCCCGGGUCUGCAUUCGAUACGGGCAGACUAGAGUGUGGUAGGGGAGAUCGGAAUUCCUGGUGUAGCGGUGAAAUGCGCAGAUAUCAGGAGGAACACCGGUGGCGAAGGCGGAUCUCUGGGCCAUUACUGACGCUGAGGAGCGAAAGCGUGGGGAGCGAACAGGAUUAGAUACCCUGGUAGUCCACGCCGUAAACGGUGGGAACUAGGUGUUGGCGACAUUCCACGUCGUCGGUGCCGCAGCUAACGCAUUAAGUU